This 24-nucleotide small RNA is filed under the name Chlamydia pneumoniae. The record is from RNAcentral. Lineage: Bacteria; Pseudomonadati; Chlamydiota; Chlamydiia; Chlamydiales; Chlamydiaceae.
CGCCAUGCCCAAAUGCUCGGGCAA